GCGCACCAGUCGCGAAAACUUUACAAUGUGCGAAAGCACGAUAAGGGAACUCUGAGUGCCUCCUAAGGAGGCUGUUCAGGUGUCUAGAAAGCACCUGAAGGAAGGGCUGGGUAAGACCGGUGCCAGCCGCCGCGGUAACACCGGCAGGCCCAAGUGGUAGGCCACGUUUAUUGGGUCUAAAGCGUCCGUAGCCGGCUGGGGUAAGUUCCUUGGGAAAUUUGGCUGCUUAACAGUCAAGCUUUCAGGGAAUACUGCCCGGCUUGGGACCGGGAGAGGUCAGAGGUACUCCAGGGGUAGGGGUGAAAUCCAUUAAUCCUUGGGGGACCACCGGUAGCGAAGGCGUCUGACCAGACCGGGUCCGACGGUGAGGG
Molecule: ribosomal RNA, 371 nt
Filed under: uncultured microorganism
Description: bacterial SSU rRNA
Rfam family: Archaeal small subunit ribosomal RNA
Source: RNAcentral